GGGGAUAUGGCUUAGUGGUAGAGUGUUUGCCUAGCAAGCAUGAAGCCCUGGGUUCAAUUCCUCAGUACCA
Molecule: non-coding RNA, 70 nt
Organism: Dipodomys ordii (Ord's kangaroo rat)
Lineage: Eukaryota; Metazoa; Chordata; Mammalia; Rodentia; Heteromyidae
Source: Rfam